UACGUGGGGUGCGAGCGUUGUCCGGAAUUCUUGGGCGUAAAGGGCUCGUAGGCGGUUUGUCGCGUCGGGAGUGAAAACUCAGGGCUUAACCCUGAGCCUGCUUCCGAUACGGGCAGACUAGAGGUAUGCAGGGGAGAACGGAAUUCCUGGUGUAGCGGUGAAAUGCGUAGAUAUCAGGAGGAACACCGAUGGCGAAGGCAGCUGCCUGGCCUAACACUGACGCUGAGGUGCGAAAGCGUGGGGAGCGAACGGG
Molecule: ribosomal RNA, 253 nt
Filed under: uncultured bacterium
Lineage: Bacteria
Description: partial 16S ribosomal RNA
Rfam family: Bacterial small subunit ribosomal RNA
Source: RNAcentral